Molecule: non-coding RNA, 104 nt
Filed under: Bacillus thermotolerans
Lineage: Bacteria; Bacillati; Bacillota; Bacilli; Caryophanales; Bacillaceae
Also listed under: 1 other name
Description: Quasibacillus thermotolerans SAM riboswitch aptamer (S box leader)
Rfam family: SAM riboswitch aptamer (S box leader)
About the family: The SAM riboswitch is found upstream of a number of genes which code for proteins involved in methionine or cysteine biosynthesis in Gram-positive bacteria. The SAM riboswitch acts at the level of transcription termination control. The predicted structure consists of a complex stem-loop region followed by a single stem loop terminator region.
Source: Rfam by way of RNAcentral
GCCUUAUCGAGAGAAGCGGAGGGAACUGGCCCGUCGAUGCUUCAGCAACCGGCCUGUGCGGCCAAGGUGCUAACUCCAGCGGGAGCGAUCCCGAAAGAUGAGCG